RNAcentral lists this long non-coding RNA (2735 nucleotides) under Homo sapiens (human). RNAcentral's name for it is "METTL14 divergent transcript". The record is from RNAcentral. Lineage: Eukaryota; Metazoa; Chordata; Mammalia; Primates; Hominidae.
GUUGCGCCACAGGGGUCUCCAGGGCCCUCGCAGGUUGGGGUGGUCUGAGCUAGUCUGAAGGAGGACAGUCAGCUGACUUCUCCUUUAUCUCUCUUUCCCAGGAUAGCAGGUUCCCUUGGUGUAUUACAGUUUCUGAAGUGUUGAUUCCCUUUUCAAUUGAUUCCACAGAUGACAGUCCUGACGUUUAAAAAAUUGCCAGAUAACCUUUAAUUUUUUUUUUUUUAACAGAACACAAACUUAAGCCAGAUUGCCUAGGAUUGAACCUUGGCCUCUCACUUCCUAGACGAGUGGCCUUGGCUAGUUAACCACCUUCGUGAGCCUCAGUUUUGUCAUCUGUAAAAUGGGAGUCAUAAGUGUCUACCUCACAGAGCUGUGAUUGAAAGGAUAAAUAGCACCUUGCACAUAGCGGUGUAGAAGUGCUUGUUAUUGUUAAUAUUUUAUUUACCUUCACGCAGGUAACAGCCACAACAUCUGCCCACUCUUCCCCACACCUUACUGUCCCUUGAAAUGUUUCCCAUUUUACUAUAGUAUGCAUUUUUUGGCUUCUUCCCUUUAGGGAAAUGAGUAUGUGAUAGUAAAGCGUGUCUUGGUUUAUGUCCUAGGAGUCAGAAGCUAAGAGACUCCUUUUUGUGCUUGUACAUUUGUCUUAACUGAAAAUAACCCAAGGAUAAGGAAACAAAUAGCUUCCUGAAAUUACUCGGAUUGCGGGGGUGAGGGGUGAGGGCUGGGGGGUGGUGAUUCUGUCUUCAUAGGAUGGCAGCAAAGGCCAAAGUCUUAUUUGAGUUAUUACCAUUAUUAUUCACCACACUUGCCAUCUUAUUUCAAGCCUACAGUGGCGGAAGUGGAGUAAGACAUCAUGUUGCCUCAAGUUUAAUUGGAAAUCGCGUGCCUUGUGAAGAAUGGACACUCAGUAGAUGCUUAUUGAUGAACCUGUUGGUUGAGGAUAACUCGCUAACUUUUCUGAGCUUUGUUGGAAAAACUAGACAGGGGUCUCACUAUGUGAUGCAGGAUGAUCUCAAACUCCCUGGCCUCAAGCGAUCCUCCUGCCUUGGUCUCCUAAAGUGCUGGGAUUACAGCAGGUCACUGUAUCUCUAUGCAUUACAGAAAAUGGCUAGUUAAAAACUUGUCAAGGCCAGUUGCAGGCAUGAUACCAGCAGUCUGGGAGGUAGAGACAAGAGGACACAUCUCUGCUGCUCCCUUCUUUCCCCAUGGUUAUGCGCCAACUUUGGUUUCACCAGGCCUACAGUGCUUCCCAGGUUUGGAGUGUGGGGAAGGAGAAGAUUUAAUGGAAGCAGCUUAAGGGAAAUGCUCAAACUAAACUGAUACUUUCUUCAUGAUCUAGCAUUGAAACUUUCUGGACUUGACAGAUAUUUAAAAUUAACUCUUUUUCUCAUUAACAUUUUCAUGGGUUCUUCCAAGAUCCACAUUACCCAACCUGUGGGUUCCCAUGACAAGGAUUAAGGCAUCUCUGUUUCUUCUGGACCUUUAUUUACCUGGAUUCUUUCUCUAGGGACUGUUUACCCUUAUGGGCCAUCCUUUUGAGCAUAACCUAACAAGAUUCAUGCUGGCUUUAAGUGAGUGGUCCACAUUUGGUUCAUGGGAAAACCACAUAGUUUGUCCCCAGCAAACCUGGAAGUAAUAUUUAUUUUACUGCUGGAAUUAAGGAAAACCAAAAAUCCUAUUACAAAAUGGCUCCUCUAAACAUUCACAUUACCCCUUUUUGUCUCUACCCCCUGAGGAACUAACCAACUCUAGCUCUUUGGAUUUUCCAAAUGAGAGGUCAACACAUCGAUGUCUCCAAGACCUUAAGUUCUUCUAGUGGUCUCUUUAAGCUUCCUCCCUUGAAUUAUGGUGAAAAGGGACUGCCUGCUACCCCCUCCUCUUGAGGAGAGGGGUGGUAUCACAGCCUAACAAUAAUUUCCAAAAAUUUUCUCCUCCAGCUCUAAUGCUUAACCAGUUUAGACUUUCAAAGUGGAUAAUGUAAUUUAAAGCCUUACAGCUAGUUAUGCUCUACUUCUUCUAUAAGUCCUGCAACCAGGUGGUCUCAAUCCUCACUUGCGAAUACUGCAUUUACUCACCUUGUGCCCUAGCCAAAACUUCCACAACAAAUUCUGUGGUGCAUUUAAGUGAAAGAUGUUAUUUGAUUGAUAGAGAGAUAGAUAGAUAGAUACAGAUAUAGAUAUAGAUAUGUAUUAGAACCAUGUCAAAUGGUUAACUUUUUUAAAAAGGUAAAUUUUUUAUAUUGAGAUAAUUAUAGAUUCUCAUACACUCGUAAGAAAUAACACAGAAAGAUCCCAUGUAGCCUUUAUCCAGUUUCCCCAGUGAUAAUAUCUUGCAAAACUAUAGUCCAAUAUCACAACCAAGAUACUGGCAUUGAUAGAUCACUUCCAUCACCACAAACAUCCCUCAUGUUGCCCUUUUAUAGCCACACUCAUUUCCCUCCUGCUGCCACCCUCUCCUUUACCCAUAACCACUUAUCUGUUCUCUAUUUUUGUAAUUUUAUCAUUUCAAGAAUACUGUAGAAAUGGAAUAAUACAGUAUGUAUUUUAGGGCUUAUCUUUUCUACACUCGGCAUGAUUCUCUGGAGAUUCAUCCAGGUUGUUGCAUGUAUCAAUAGUUCAUUCCUUUUUUACUGCUGAACAGUAUUCCAUUGUAUGUAUGUACCAUAGUUUAACUAUUUGCUCAAUGAAAGACAUAUAUUAAUAGUUUCCAGUUUUUGCUGUUAUGAAUAAAGC